Molecule: long non-coding RNA, 805 nt
Filed under: Mus spicilegus (steppe mouse)
Lineage: Eukaryota; Metazoa; Chordata; Mammalia; Rodentia; Muridae
Description: lncRNA (ENSMSIG00000007305.1)
Source: RNAcentral
CUGAGACCUGCCCGGGGUGGCAAGAGUCCCGCCUCCAGCAGGUGACAACUAGCCUAGUGUGUGAUGGGAUUCCCCUUCCAUGUGACACUGGGGGAGAGGAACCCCACUCCUAACAGUGGGAACAUCUACGGAGACCCCUGCUCUGAGCCGGAGUUCCCGCCAGGAGGUGGAAUGUAGGGGAGAGAAUCCCUGUCUAGUAGCAAAGCGAUCGGGACAGGAAUCGUUCUGGGCAGCGAGCUCGUUCCCACUCCCUUCUUCUGCCACCCCCACCCUCAUUCCCGUAACUCCCUCCUUUUCUUUCGGUAUCUCACCCCUCCUCUCUCCUUUGUUCCUCGUCGCCCCAACCCCGCGCACACCUGCUAGUGCUGGGGACUGUCUUCUCCUCCUCAUCCAGCAAGCUCACUUACUCGCAGGCGGAAGAACUGACGGAGGUGGACAUUCUUGGGCCAGUCUCAGCACUCUGCUUCCCUCCAGGACUAGGCACUUGCCCAGCCCAGCCCUCAAUGCAGGAGCUUGUCCUGGGACAGGCAGAGAAAGGAUCAGGAACAGAGAGAAGCCCUCAGAGGAACAGGAAAGGAGGCUGCACUGGGGCAGAAGAGACAGCUGGGAAGGACUGGGAAGAAAGCCCUUGGGGCAUGGCUGAGCUGCUACAAAGGGAGAGUCCCAAAGUUCAGGAUUGUGAACUGCAUGUAAUGUGAAGCACUGGGGUGGCCAGGAGCCGAGUAUGCAGCAGGAAUUGUUCAUCAGCACAUCAUACCAAAGCUUGAAGAUCACUCUUACAAGACACCACUCAAGUGAAUAAAGU